Molecule: ribosomal RNA, 451 nt
Filed under: uncultured bacterium
Lineage: Bacteria
Description: partial 16S ribosomal RNA
Rfam family: Bacterial small subunit ribosomal RNA
Source: RNAcentral
GUGGGGAAUAUUGGACAAUGGGGGGAACCCUGAUCCAGCCAUGCCGCGUGUGUGAAGAAGGCCUUUUGGUUGUAAAGCACUUUAAGCGAGGAGGAGGCUACCGAGAUUAAUACUCUUGGAUAGUGGACGUUACUCGCAGAAUAAGCACCGGCUAACUCUGUGCCAGCAGCCGCGGUAAUACAGAGGGUGCAAGCGUUAAUCGGAUUUACUGGGCGUAAAGCGCGCGUAGGUGGCCAAUUAAGUCAAAUGUGAAAUCCCCGAGCUUAACUUGGGAAUUGCAUUCGAUACUGGUUGGCUAGAGUAUGGGAGAGGAUGGUAGAAUUCCAGGUGUAGCGGUGAAAUGCGUAGAGAUCUGGAGGAAUACCGAUGGCGAAGGCAGCCAUCUGGCCUAAUACUGACACUGAGGUGCGAAAGCAUGAGGAGCAAACAGGAUUAGAUACCCGGGUAGUCC